This 501-nucleotide ribosomal RNA is filed under the name uncultured bacterium. RNAcentral's name for it is "partial 16S ribosomal RNA". It matches the Rfam family "Bacterial small subunit ribosomal RNA", at positions 30 to 523 of the family's 1533-position model. The record is from RNAcentral.
AUUGAACGCUGGCGGCAGGCUUAACACAUGCAAGUCGAGCGGGGGAAGGUAGCUUGCUACCGGACCUAGCGGCGGACGGGUGAGUAAUGCUUAGGAAUCUGCCUAUUAGUGGGGGACAACAUCUCGAAAGGGAUGCUAAUACCGCAUACGUCCUACGGGAGAAAGCAGGGGAUCUUCGGACCUUGCGCUAAUAGAUGAGCCUAAGUCGGAUUAGCUAGUUGGUGGGGUAAAGGCCUACCAAGGCGACGAUCUGUAGCGGGUCUGAGAGGAUGAUCCGCCACACUGGGACUGGGACACGGCCCAGACUCCUACUGGAGGCAGCAGUGGGGAAUAUUGGACAAUGGGGGGAACCCUGAUCCAGCCAUGCCGCGUGUGUGAAGAAGGCCUUAUGGUUGUAAAGCACUUUAAGCGAGGAGGAGGCUACUCUAGUUAAUACCUAGGGAUAGUGGACGUUACUCGCAGGAUAAGCACCGGCUAACUCUGUGCCAGCCGCCGCGGUAA